RNAcentral lists this ribosomal RNA (252 nucleotides) under uncultured Blastopirellula sp. Its description in RNAcentral is "partial 16S ribosomal RNA". It matches the Rfam family "Bacterial small subunit ribosomal RNA", at positions 524 to 776 of the family's 1533-position model. Lineage: Bacteria; Pseudomonadati; Planctomycetota; Planctomycetia; Pirellulales; Pirellulaceae. The record is from RNAcentral.
GACGAACCGUACGAACGUUAUUCGGAAUUACUGGGCUUAAAGGGUGCGUAGGCUGCGCGGAAAGUUGGGUGUGAAAUCCCUCGGCUCAACCGAGGAACUGCGCUCAAAACACCGUGCUCGAGGGAGACAGAGGUGAGCGGGACAUAGGGUGGAGCGGUGAAAUGCGUUGAUAUCCUAAGGAACACCCGUGGCGAAAGCGGCUCACUGGGUCUCUUCUGACGCUAAGGCACGAAAGCUAGGGUAGCGAACGGG